Molecule: long non-coding RNA, 197 nt
Organism: Telopea speciosissima
Lineage: Eukaryota; Viridiplantae; Streptophyta; Magnoliopsida; Proteales; Proteaceae
Exons: 3
Source: RefSeq, a predicted model, not a curated record
UCAAGAGAUUAUGAAACUUGAAAAGAGAUCUCCACAAUGCAAGGAGAAUUGUACAUUCAAAAUGAAAAGAACAUCCAAGAUGAAAUCAAUUAAUAAACUAAAAUAUUGAAAACUAGGGAGCAACAUUUUCUUUUCUUCUUUCAAUUAACACCCACAGAUUGUAAAUUAAACAGAUCAAGGAGAAAAGAGAAACUAUU